Molecule: ribosomal RNA, 434 nt
Filed under: uncultured bacterium
Lineage: Bacteria
Description: partial 16S ribosomal RNA
Rfam family: Bacterial small subunit ribosomal RNA
Source: RNAcentral
AGCGAACGCUGGCGGCAGGCCUAACACAUGCAAGUCGAACGAACCUUUCGGGGUUAGUGGCGGACGGGUGAGUAACACGUGGGAACGUGCCUUUAGGUUCGGAAUAACUCAGGGAAACUUGUGCUAAUACCGAAUGUGCCCUUCGGGGGAAAGAUUUAUCGCCUUUAGAGCGGCCCGCGUCUGAUUAGCUAGUUGGUUGAGGUAAUGGCUCACCAAGGCGACGAUCAGUAGCUGGUCUGAGAGGAUGAUCAGCCACAUUGGGACUGAGACACGGCCCAAACUCCUACGUGAGGCAGCAGUGGGGAAUCUUGCGCAAUGGGCGAAAGCCUGACGCAGCCAUGCCGCGUGAAUGAUGAAGGUCUUAGGAUUGUAAAAUUCUUUCACCGGGGACGAUAAUGGCGGUACCCGGAGAAGAAGCCCCGGCUAACUUCGUG